UACGGGGGGGGCAAGCGUUGUUCGGAAUUACUGGGCGUAAAGGGCGUGUAGGUGGCCAACUAAGUCCGACGUGAAAUCCCCAGGCUUAACCUGGGAACUGCGUCGGAUACUGGAUGGCUUGAAUCCGGGAGAGGGAUGCGGAAUUCCAGGUGUAGCGGUGAAAUGCGCAGAUAUCAGGAGGAACACCGGUGGCGAAGGCGGCUUGCUGGGCCUUACCUGACGCUGAGGAGCGAAAGCCAGGGGAGCAAACGGG
Molecule: ribosomal RNA, 253 nt
Filed under: uncultured bacterium
Lineage: Bacteria
Description: partial 16S ribosomal RNA
Rfam family: Bacterial small subunit ribosomal RNA
Source: RNAcentral